This 374-nucleotide unclassified non-coding RNA is filed under the name Hevea brasiliensis (rubber tree). Lineage: Eukaryota; Viridiplantae; Streptophyta; Magnoliopsida; Malpighiales; Euphorbiaceae. The record is from RNAcentral.
GCUUAGUUGAGUUGAGUUGUAUGAUAUAAAUUCAAUAUAUAUGUGAAGAAUAGCUAUUCAACUGCCUUGAAUAGCUAUUCCAUUCCUACCCUAUUCCAUUUCAUGAACCAAAACAAGUGCUAUGGGUGGGACAUUAGAGCAAAGGGAGCAACUGAAAGAGUGAUGGUAUGAGAUCAAGUCACAUUCUUUAAAAGAAACCAGCUUAGCUUUUAACCGAUAUUCGGGAUUACAAGAUUAUUCAGUUCUUACUACAUAUUUCACUUACAGUCAUGCUGUUGUCCUAGCUAAUUGAAGAGAAUUCAACCACAACUCCAAGUUAAUACGGUUCAAUCAACAACGGUAGCUUCAAACAAAGGGAAGCAAACACAAAGCAA